Molecule: non-coding RNA, 187 nt
Filed under: uncultured Pseudobutyrivibrio sp.
Lineage: Bacteria; Bacillati; Bacillota; Clostridia; Lachnospirales; Lachnospiraceae
Source: RNAcentral
AGAACUGUAUAACUGAAGUUUCAAAUGAGAGGGUAACGCCUUGAAGGGAACUCACUAAAACUUCGAAUGGCAUAGUCAGUACAAGGAUAAUUGUCAUAAGCUCGGGGAAGUCGCAUGAAGCACACCCUAACGGGUAACGCCGAGGAAAUCUAUCUGGCGGCAGGUAAUGUGUGUGACAGUGCGGGUG